Molecule: ribosomal RNA, 301 nt
Filed under: uncultured bacterium
Lineage: Bacteria
Description: partial 16S ribosomal RNA
Rfam family: Bacterial small subunit ribosomal RNA
Source: RNAcentral
CAGUCGCCGCGGUAAUACGGAGGAUCCAAGCGUUAUCCGGAAUCAUUGGGUUUAAAGGGUCCGUAGGCGGUCUUGUAAGUCAGUGGUGAAAGCCCAUCGCUCAACGGUGGAACGGCCAUUGAUACUGCAGGACUUGAAUUAUUGGGAAGUAACUAGAAUAUGUAGUGUAGCGGUGAAAUGCUUAGAGAUUACAUGGAAUACCAAUUGCGAAGGCAUGUUACUACCAAUUGAUUGACGCUGAUGGACGAAAGCGUGGGUAGCGAACAGGAUUAGAUACCCCCGUAGUCCCUGUCUCUUAUAC